GAACGCACCUUGCGCCCUUUGGCUAUUCUGAAGGGCAUGCCUGUUUGAGUAUCAUGAACACCCUCAAGCACUGCUUGGUGUUGGGCGUCUGUCCCGCCUUUGCGCGUGGACUCGCCCCAAAGUCAUUGGCAGCGGUCUCUGGCACCUCAACGCGCAGUACAAUGCGUUCAUUGGGGUGCCGUGGGCGCGACCAUAAAGCUAUUUACCGUCUUUGACCUCGGAGCAGGUAGGGAUACCCGCUGAACUUA
Molecule: unclassified non-coding RNA, 248 nt
Filed under: uncultured Pleosporales
Lineage: Eukaryota; Fungi; Ascomycota; Dothideomycetes; Pleosporales
Description: sequence contains 5.8S rRNA gene
Source: RNAcentral